UGUUGGGUUCAUUGACCCACACAUCGUUAAUUCACAUGUGUUAGAACACCACCCCGCCGACGUGGAGGAUGACCUGUGGCGGUUUAUUAGAAAACAGCAACAGAAAAGUGAUAUUCUAUUUCCUUACCAUUUUGGGUUCCACUGGAUUCUUAUGGUAAUUCAAGUUCAGACCUCCUCAGUUCUCGUCCACGACUCUCUGAAUAUGGAUCCGGCGCUUUGGGCCGACAUGAGAAAAAUGAUGCAAAAGGUUUGGAGACGGUUCGUAGAUACCAAGGUCGGUGAAUUCAAAAAAGAGCUACAUUUUAAAAUGGC
This is a non-coding RNA of Lolium perenne, 312 nucleotides long. NCBI's taxonomy places the organism in Eukaryota, Viridiplantae, Streptophyta, Magnoliopsida, Poales, Poaceae. The record is from RefSeq and is a predicted model, not a curated record.